GAUGAACGCUGGCGGCGUGCUUAACACAUGCAAGUCGAACGGAAAGGCCAGUGCUUGCACUGGUACUCGAGUGGCGAACGGGUGAGUAACACGUGGGUGAUCUGCCCUGUACUUCGGGAUAAGCUUGGGAAACUGGGUCUAAUACCGGAUAGGACAACUUUUUGGAUAUUGUUGUGGAAAGCUUUUGCGGUAUGGGAUGAGCUCGCGGCCUAUCAGCUUGUUGGUGGGGUAAUGGCCUACCAAGGCGUCGACGGGUAGCCGGCCUGAGAGGGUGUACGGCCACAUUGGGACUGAGAUACGGCCUAGACUCCUACGGGAGGCAGCAGUGGGGAAUAUUGCACAAUGGGCGCAAGCCUGAUGCAGCGACGCCGCGUGGGGGAUGAAGGCCUUCGGGUUGUAAACUCCUUUCGCUAGGGACGAAGCUUUUUUGUGACGGUACCUGGAGAAGAAGCACCGGCUAACUACGUG
This 468-nucleotide ribosomal RNA is filed under the name uncultured bacterium. RNAcentral describes it as "partial 16S ribosomal RNA". It matches the Rfam family "Bacterial small subunit ribosomal RNA", at positions 28 to 507 of the family's 1533-position model. The record is from RNAcentral.